Molecule: ribosomal RNA, 277 nt
Filed under: uncultured bacterium
Lineage: Bacteria
Description: partial 16S ribosomal RNA
Rfam family: Bacterial small subunit ribosomal RNA
Source: RNAcentral
CCAUUAGCUUGUUGUGAGGUAACGGCUCACCAAGGCUGUGAUGGCUAGCUGGUCUGAGAGGAUGACCAGCCACACUGGGACUGAGACACGGCCCAGACUCCUACGGGAGGCAGCAGUGGGGAAUAUUGCGCAAUGGGCGAAAGCCUGACGCAGCGACGCCGCGUGGGUGAUGAAGGCCUUCGGGUCGUAAAGCCCUGUCGCAGGGGAAGAAUAAGCAUCGGUAUAAUACGCCGGUGCCCUGACGGUACCCUGCAAGAAAGCACCGGCUAACUCCGUG